Molecule: ribosomal RNA, 481 nt
Filed under: uncultured bacterium
Lineage: Bacteria
Description: partial 16S ribosomal RNA
Rfam family: Bacterial small subunit ribosomal RNA
Source: RNAcentral
GAUGAACGCUGGCGGCGUGCUUAACACAUGCAAGUCGAACGAAGCAUUUGCGACAGAUUUUUUCGGAAUGAAGUUGCUUAUGACUGAGUGGCGGACGGGUGAGUAACGCGUGGGUAACCUGCCUUGUACUGGGGGAUGGCAGCUGGAAACGGCUGGUAAUACCGCAUAAGCGCACAAUGUUGCAUGACAUGGUGUGAAAAACUCCGGUGGUAUAAGAUGGACCCGCGUCUGAUUAGCUAGUUGGUGAGAUAACAGCCCACCAAGGCGACGAUCAGUAGCCGACCUGAGAGGGUGACCGGCCACAUUGGGACUGAGACACGGCCCAGACUCCUACGGGAGGCAGCAGUGGGGAAUAUUGCACAAUGGAGGAAACUCUGAUGCAGCGACGCCGCGUGAGUGAAGAAGUAAUUCGUUAUGUAAAGCUCUAUCAGCAGGGAAGAUAGUGACGGUACCUGACUAAGAAGCUCCGGCUAAAUACGUG